Molecule: ribosomal RNA, 1723 nt
Filed under: Haemophilus influenzae PittEE
Lineage: Bacteria; Pseudomonadati; Pseudomonadota; Gammaproteobacteria; Pasteurellales; Pasteurellaceae
Description: bacterial LSU rRNA
Rfam family: Bacterial large subunit ribosomal RNA
Source: RNAcentral
CUGUUGGGUAGGGGAGCGUUCUGUAAGCGGAUGAAGGUGGCUCGAGAGGGCUGCUGGACGUAUCAGAAGUGCGAAUGCUGACAUAAGUAACGAUAAAACGGGUGAAAAACCCGUUCGCCGGAAGACCAAGGGUUCCUGUCCAACGUUAAUCGGGGCAGGGUGAGUCGGCUCCUAAGGCGAGGCUGAAAAGCGUAGUCGAUGGGAAACAGGUUAAUAUUCCUGUACUUGGUAAAGCUGCGAUGUGGGGACGGAGUAGGUUAGGUUAUCGCACUGUUGGAUAUGUGCGUUUAAGUUGGUAGGUGGGAAGUUUAGGCAAAUCCGGGCUUCCUUAACACAGAGAGAUGAUGACGAGGCUCUACGGAGCUGAAGUAACUGAUACCACACUUCCAGGAAAAGCCACUAAGCGAAAGGCUUUACUAAACCGUACUGAAAACCGACACAGGUGGUCAGGUAGAGAAUACUCAGGCGCUUGAGAGAACUCGGGUGAAGGAACUAGGCAAAAAUAGCACCGUAACUUCGGGAGAAGGUGCGCCGGCGUAGAUUGUAAGGGCUAGCCCCUGAAGGUUGAACCGGUCGAAGAUACCAGCUGGCUGCAACUGUUUAUUAAAAACACAGCACUCUGCAAACACGAAAGUGGACGUAUAGGGUGUGAUGCCUGCCCGGUGCUGGAAGGUUAAUUGAUGGUGUAAUCGCAAGAGAAGCACCUGAUCGAAGCCCCAGUAAACGGCGGCCGUAACUAUAACGGUCCUAAGGUAGCGAAAUUCCUUGUCGGGUAAGUUCCGACCUGCACGAAUGGCAUAAUGAUGGCCAGGCUGUCUCCACCCGAGACUCAGUGAAAUUGAAAUCGCCGUGAAGAUGCGGUGUACCCGCGGCUAGACGGAAAGACCCCGUGAACCUUUACUAUAGCUUGACACUGAACAUUGAAUUUUGAUGUGUAGGAUAGGUGGGAGCCUUUGAAGCAGUGACGCCAGUCAUUGUGGAGGCGACCUUGAAAUACCACCCUUUAACGUUUGAUGUUCUAACGAAGAUGACGAAACGUGGUCUCGGACAGUGUCUGGUGGGUAGUUUGACUGGGGCGGUCUCCUCCCAAAGCGUAACGGAGGAGCACGAAGGUUUGCUAAUCACGGUCGGACAUCGUGAGGUUAGUGCAAUGGUAUAAGCAAGCUUAACUGCGAGACAGACAAGUCGAGCAGGUACGAAAGUAGGUCAUAGUGAUCCGGUGGUUCUGAAUGGAAGGGCCAUCGCUCAACGGAUAAAAGGUACUCCGGGGAUAACAGGCUGAUACCGCCCAAGAGUUCAUAUCGACGGCGGUGUUUGGCACCUCGAUGUCGGCUCAUCACAUCCUGGGGCUGAAGUAGGUCCCAAGGGUAUGGCUGUUCGCCAUUUAAAGUGGUACGCGAGCUGGGUUUAGAACGUCGUGAGACAGUUCGGUCCCUAUCUGCCGUGGGCGUAGGAGAAUUGGUUGGGGCUGCUCCUAGUACGAGAGGACCGGAGUGGACGCACCACUGGUGUUCCGGUUGUGUCGCCAGACGCAUUGCCGGGUAGCUAAGUGCGGAAGAGAUAAGUGCUGAAAGCAUCUAAGCACGAAACUUGCCAAGAGAUGAGUUCUCCCAAUCAAAGAGAUUGUAAGGGUUGUUGUAGACUACGACGUAGAUAGGUCUGGUGUGUAAGUGUAGUGAUACAUUGAGCUAACAGAUACUAAUUGCCCGAGAGGCUUAACUAU